CCCAUCCAGCCGGGUUCCCCUCACGGUUCCCGGCGCUGUGCCCGACCUGGUCACACUGCCAAGGAUUAGGUGUAUUUUCCUGUCCUUGCGCUCUGUGGGAAAGCCUCAUCUGUCCCUGUGGGUGGGUGCUGCUCACUGAAACAGUGAAGCCUCUGUGCUGGCAGUCCUUUCUCCUUCCCCUUCUGAAAGUGCAUCUUCUUUGCAGAUUCCAUAUUUCCUACCAAUGCAUUUGCCAUACUGGAGACCGAGCCUCAGAGAGAAGCAAGAAGCUGCUGAGAGAGGCAGAGUGGUUUUCUCCAUCUUUGGAUGAGGUUCCCACCCCAGACACUUCAGCUCCAACGAGUUUUCCAGUGCCAUGGAGAUCGAGGUGCCUGAAGGAGACAGACACUGGUGCAGGACCUGAUGUGUGAUUUGUCAAUCAGCUUUGGCAGCUGCCAGCAGGCUUGCAGAGGGAGAGAUGCUGUGGUGCUUGGCUGCAGUGGGGAUGUUCCUCCAAGGUCAGAAAAUUCCAAGCUGCAGUCCUCUUCCUCAGCCCUCUCUCAUGGGAUGGGAUGUAUGAUCCUGUCCUCUGAGCUCUCACUUGGUGGACCAGAACAAAUUGAGAGAAUUUAGUGUGCUUUCUCUACAAAUGCCUUCAAAUGUUUACUUUUUCUCACAGUUAUACAGUAAGUUUUGAGUUAUGCUGGAUUGUGCUUACACUGUUGGCUAUCUAAGCUCUGGGAUGUAGAGCUGCAUUUGGAUUGUUCCUUUUAGGGAGACUAUGCACAGGAAGAACAGAACAGAUAUAGAAUGACCAUAGAUUUACCCUGUCAAGACCCAAUAUGAAGCAGCUGACUUGACAAGUGCUGGUAAAUUGCUUCCUCUUAUGUGGCACAAAACAGGUGGAGAAAUCUUGUUAUUUGAAUAGAAAAUUCCAUGAUGCUCAUAAAGGGGAGGUUGCUGGUUUGUUUUAUGAGAAUAGAGUGCCACAGUAGCAGAAAAGGGCCCUGUGAAAUUUCCUUAUGUGAUUUGAAUUUUUUUAUUCCAUUUCCCUCUGAGAUAACUUAAUUUUAUAAUUGCUGUCUGUUGAAGAAGAAGGGAGGAGGUGAAUAAAUGACACCAACUUAGACUGUAAAAUAAAGGGAGAUCUUUACCCAGUGCUUCUCUGAGCCCUUUGUGAAAACAGGUUCCCUUUCUGCUAGACAGCCACAAAU
This is a long non-coding RNA of Ficedula albicollis (Collared flycatcher), 1193 nucleotides long. RefSeq lists it as uncharacterized. The record is from RefSeq and is a predicted model, not a curated record. The transcript is spliced from 3 exons. NCBI's taxonomy places the organism in Eukaryota, Metazoa, Chordata, Aves, Passeriformes, Muscicapidae.